GUCCUUCAGCCAGCAGCAAGCCCUCCGGUCCCCAUGGUAAUCAUGGCAGAGAACCACCAGCACCUCCUGUGGACUAGAGAUUCCAGAUUCUUUAGUCCGAUGAGGGGGGGGGCUGAUCUACACAGCCACUUGGAUAACAAGGUGUUUCUACAACGUGUUACAAAAGAGGAAGCAAAUAGAGAAAGUUGUGGUGAAAGUGGUGAAAGUGCUGAAUUGUUGGAGUCUACAUUUUCCCGGAUUUAUAUAUCUCUGUCUUCAAUUUUUUUUCUUCUUAUUAUUAUAUUUUUAUUAUAAAGCAUUAUUAGGUAUUUACCAAGUUGUUAAAAUGACAUAUAGGCCUUUAUAAUGACAUUUGCCCUAGAUCAGCCUGAAUAUGAAUUGUGAUCUAAAGGAAAGGUUACCUAGAAAUUGGGUGUCGUCAAAAGAUUUGGGUUAUUUUUGAGUAGACUGAGGUGAAGAGGAAAAUGUUUCUUGUCCUGUGGUAGCCAAUACAUUCCAAAGCUAUGAUGGCUUCACAGACAUGAUGCCAUUGGUCCAUGGAGGAGAAUGAGCCUUGACUCUGCAUUGAGUCAUGACUUAAGGUUGACCAAGACCACUUCUUAAGUAAAAUUUUUGUGCAAGAGGAAAUGAUGAAAUGGGCGUAUUCCAGUUGGCUCUUAUUACUUUUGACGUCAUGGCUGUGUGGAUGUUGUCAUGGUCUGGGAUCUGUUGACCACCGAGAGGGUGGCUGAUCUAAAGCAGACCUCUCCACCCUGAAGACUUUGACAAUCUAUUUACCCUUUGUGCAUAAAAAUCGCUAGAGCAAUUGCUAGCAUAGCUACUUGAAUGCCAUUCUUUGGUCUCAGUUUUUUUUGCAUUUGCUCAGGAAUCAUUAUGUAGCUAUACUAACUAAAACAGUCAAAUGGUAUGGGUAGCUGUCAAAUUUCAGUGGUGAAAAUCUAAAAACAAUGUAAUCUUUCAAAAUAAGAAGAUAAAUUGGGUACUAAGGAAUUUUGGGAAUAUUUGUGAAGAGUGAGAUUGCCUUUUAUUUUACGCUUAAAGGCAAAUCUUCGAACGGUAGCACUUUGGUUGUGGCACCUUUACAGAUGUGUACAGAAUGCAAAGCUCCAGAAAAACACUUAAGCGAGGAUGUAAAUCUGCCCCAUUUCAAGUUUGGUGUAACUUACUCAAACGGCCUGUCUCAUCGGAUCUGUGAGAAUGUUAGAAUGUCUUGCACAACUUGGUGCAGUUGGCUGGACUAAUGAUUUCUGGGUAGAUCAGUUAAGGUGGUGGUGGUGGUGUUGAUUUCAGGGCAUGUAAAUUCUGUCUAUGUAUGUACACCGUUCUAAUGAAACUGCUCUAUGACAAAGGGCUUGAUCUAUGCACUUUUGGUUACUACAAAUAAAUACGGACAAUAGCA
Molecule: long non-coding RNA, 1399 nt
Organism: Sinocyclocheilus grahami
Lineage: Eukaryota; Metazoa; Chordata; Actinopteri; Cypriniformes; Cyprinidae
Exons: 3
Source: RefSeq, a predicted model, not a curated record